RNAcentral lists this ribosomal RNA (466 nucleotides) under uncultured bacterium. RNAcentral's name for it is "bacterial SSU rRNA". It matches the Rfam family "Bacterial small subunit ribosomal RNA", at positions 340 to 786 of the family's 1533-position model. The record is from RNAcentral.
UACGGAAGGCAGCAGUGGGGAAUAUUGCACAAUGGGCGAAAGCCUGAUGCAGCUAUGCCGCGUGUAUGAAGAAGGCCUUAGGGUUGUAAAGUACUUUUCAUCGGGGAGGAAAAAAACAAACUAAUAAUUUUAAUUUUCUUUGACGUUACCCGUAAAAACGAAAGCACCGGCUAACUCCGUGCCAGCAGCCGCGGUAAUACGGAGGGUGCUAGCGUUAAUCAGAAUUACUUGGGCGUAAAGAAGCACGUAGGUGGUUUUUUUAAGUUCAGAUGUGAAAUCCCUGGGCUUAACCUAGGAACUGCAUUUUGAAACUGAAAUACUAGAGUAUCGUAGAGGGAAGGUGAAUUCUAGGUGUAGCGGUGAAAUGCGUAGAUAUCUGGAGGAAUACCUGUGGCGAAAGCGGCCUCCUAAACGAAUCUGACACUGAGGGUGCGAAAGCGUGGGGAGCAAACAGGGAUUAGAUACC